This 232-nucleotide non-coding RNA is filed under the name Viridibacillus arenosi. RNAcentral describes it as "T-box sequence". It matches the Rfam family "T-box leader". Rfam says of the family: Uncharged tRNA acts as the effector for transcription antitermination of genes in the T-box leader family. T-boxes are found upstream of many aminoacyl-tRNA synthetase genes and some amino acid biosynthetic genes usually in Gram-positive bacteria. The record is from RNAcentral. Lineage: Bacteria; Bacillati; Bacillota; Bacilli; Caryophanales; Caryophanaceae.
AAAUGAGCGAUGACAAGAACAUAUUAAGCCGGGUCUCCCUGUUGACAGAGAAUCAGUGGUUGGUGGAAACUGAUACAUAGACUUUGGUGAAUUUCAUUCUUAGAGCUUUUUUUAUAUUACAUCUUAGUGAUAGUAGUAUAAAAACGGAUUAAACCGUUAUUUUACCAAGUAAGUGGGAAACUAGAUUUGUUUCCAAUUAGGGUGGUACCGCGUGAACAGCCACGUCCCUAUC